Molecule: ribosomal RNA, 484 nt
Filed under: uncultured bacterium
Lineage: Bacteria
Description: bacterial SSU rRNA
Rfam family: Bacterial small subunit ribosomal RNA
Source: RNAcentral
AUGCAAGUCGAACGCGAAAGGGACUUCGGUCCUGAGUAAAGUGGCGCACGGGUGAGUAACGCGUGGAUAAUCUACCCGAUGAUCCGGGAUAACAUUUCGAAAGGGGUGCUAAUACCGGAUAAGACCACGGCUUCUUCGGGGGCUGCGGUAAAAGGUGGGGACCUUCGGGCCUACCGUUAUUGGAUGAGUCCGCGUACCAUUAGCUAGUUGGUGGGGUAAGAGCCUACCAAGGCUACGAUGAGUAGCUGGUCUGAGAGGAUGAUCAGCCACACUGGGACUGAAACACGGCCCAGACUCCUACGGGAGGCAGCAGUGGGGAAUAUUGCGCAAUGGGCGAAAGCCUGACGCAGCGACGCCGCGUGAGGGAAGAAGGCCUUCGGGUCGUACACCUCUGUCUAGAGGGAAGAAACCAUUGAGGUCGAACAGGCCUCUUUGCUGACGGUACCUCUGAAGGAAGCACCGGCUAACUCCGUGCCAGCAGCCG